RNAcentral lists this long non-coding RNA (6298 nucleotides) under Brassica rapa (field mustard). RNAcentral describes it as "long non-coding RNA (BRAP_LNC004807)". Lineage: Eukaryota; Viridiplantae; Streptophyta; Magnoliopsida; Brassicales; Brassicaceae. The record is from RNAcentral.
GUGGGUAAUAAAUCUUUGUCUUUGUCUAAGACAUGUGUAAGCCGAGGGUAAUAAAUCUUUGUAAGCCGUGGGUAAGGAAUCUGUUUUCAGUUAUAGUCUUUUGUCUUAAGACUGAGCCGCAUGCUCUUAUUUGCCAUCCCCUAACGCCCUUCUCUAUACAUGCACCACCAACCCAUAUUCUCGAUCCUUUAGGGGAUGGCAUAAGUUUCUUUUAGAAGCAGCAAGGGACAUUGUAUUCAGUUAUAGUCCUUGUGAUAACCCGUCCUUCGGGAUAAAAUGGUCGAGCAAGGGAAAGUCAGAAUCUGGAGCCAAGCUUUUGGGAGAUUACAUAUUUGGAGUAAUGUUGAGUUUUGAUCACACAAAACUUAACAAGGUUCGGAGAAGACAGAAGAUUGGUCGAGCAUCAACUUGAUGAUCGAACCGCGGGCGGUACGGGCCAACCGAGAAGUUCGAAGUAGGAUGUGGUCGAAGAAUGGAUCGUGAGUGAACCAUGAGACAUAUUAAGCUGCUCUACCUUUCUUAGAAGAGUCUUAGAUUGAUCAGACGAAGAUUUUGGAAGAAUCACAUUUUUGGAAGCACGACGGUUUAGAAGCUCGACGUUUCAGAAACCCGACGUUUCUUAGCCACUAAGUUUUCCGCGAAACUUCACAUCUAUGAUCAGAAUAUUAUUUCAGAGAUAUUAUAAUUUGGAAGCAUGACGGGAGUAAGCAGGACGGGAAGCAAGCACGACGGGAAAACCCGAAGUUGGUCGAAAACCCUAAUUUCGGUUUUUCGAAAUUAUUGGAAGAAGCCGGAGGCUCGGGAAAUAUUUUUAGAGGAUCUCAGUAUUCAUCUGGAGUUUAUUAAAAAUAUUUAGAGAAUCAGAACGGGAGCGGAAAAAUAUUCGGGAUUGAUCGCGGGACGAAAAUUUACCAGAAAGACCGAAAUCGCACAAAUCAACCGGGAAGCUCGAGGUGGCCCUAUCUGAGAGAUCAGGACGUGCUGUCCUUCAUCCAAGCAUCUUAGUGUCUCCGUAGCACGAUAUGUCUCCGCAGGAUGAAGCCUCACAUGCAGCAUGACACCCAAAGCACGACAUGACCUCGUCUUGACACCCAGAGGCCCGUGUGUCGCGAUGCAUGAGCUCCAGCCAUGCUGAAUGACAUCUGGACGUGGUGCUGGCUUCUGGCAUGCAGAGGAGUCAUGCAUGGUGACAUUUGGACGCCCGUGUGUCGCCGCGCAUGCGACCGGAAGCAUGCGGGACGACACACAGGCGAUGGAGUGGCACCAUUUCAAUGGUUGGCCAUAUCUAUAUAAACCCAGCUCCCCCAGCUCGUUUCAUUCAUUCCACACACUCAAACAUCACUCUAAAACUUGGGCUAGAGAGAGAAAGUGAAGUAGAAAAAGGAAGUGAAGGAUUUGGAGCUGUUUUGAAGAAGUUAGAGCAUUUUUAAGAGCCAUUGUUCUACCGAAAGUCCGAGAAGAAGAUCCAGAAGUCCGAGGAGGUUCUGUCCAAGUCCUGAUUCGUCCAUACCAGUCCAUUGAAGACAGAGGCAUUGGUUUUUGGCUAGGCUUUCUCCGAUCAACCAGCUGCAAGAACACUGUGAGUUGGUUUGUUUGAGUUCCACUUGGAACUUAGGAUAGAUCGAGUUGCAUAUAGAGUAAUAAUAUCACACUGAUGCAUGAUAGAGUCCUAGGGUUAUUUUUAUUUAUGAAUUGGACUCAGUUUAGCAUGGGCUAAGCUGAGAUAUAAUGGAAUUAAGACUGAGUUAUAACCUGACUAGGACUAGGAUGAAUGAUGCAUCAACCGGUAUAGUGUGAUAAAUUAUGGCGUAGCUGAAUUGUUAGGAUUGAGAUGCAUGUUUUCCUUUAUUUAUUUAUGGGUAGUUUAGUAAUGGAGUAGACCUGCCUUAGAGAUAUUAGGACUAUUGAAUGCUUGGUUUGGUAGUGAUUGUUGUUGUGCAGGGAUGGUAUUGUUCAGGCGAUCUUAGGCCAUAUAGGCCGAUUUCCUUCCAUGUCGAGUUUAGUACUACCAAUCCUAUGCCAUAUAGGCUGGACUACGAGUACUGGUGUUAGUGUCGUAGACUCCUUAGUGUAUUUAAGUUUGUGGUAGGAGUCUUGGUCUUAUUAGGAUUAGUGUGUUGUAGCCGACAGUAUGAGCGUAACCCGUCCAUACUAGGCUUGUUUAGGGGUGAUUAGUGUUUCCUCAGCCUCGUACCCAGCGGGUUUAAGGAAACCCCUUAUUCGUUGGAUCGGGAAGACUCAGAGAGACGGGAUCAUGGCCUAUGGCUGAGUUAUUACACGACGGUGUAAUGUGGCAGUGACCCGAAGGACUGUGGGCUGUCGCGCGGUGACCCGAAGGACUGUGGGCCGCGGUCGGUUGAAAGUUCCUUCUUCUGGCCUUUGUGGUAGGGAGAUAGGAUAUUGCCGAUGUUGAGGAGGAACACGAGAUCACCAGGGCCCAUGUUAGAGUAUUGAGUUUAGAGUUAGAAUAGUGUGUCGAGUUAGUUUUAUUGUGUCGUCUUGAGGGUGAGGAACCCUCGAGAUAGUGUUAGCACCGAGAUACGGUGUUGAUCGAGUCUUGAUUGUUAGAUUAGGGAUCCGUUGAGUAGAUGGUCGUUUGGCCAUGUCUAUUAUUAGUAUUAUUAGAUUAAGGUCGAGCAUACCUUAAUCGGUGCGGUUUUGGGGAUUAGCCUUAAAGCUUUAUUUUCUGCGCUUAGGCUAGAUUGAUUGUUAUUUUUGGGUUGUCUGAGCUAGCUACUAGGUUUAGGUAUUUAGGUAUCCAGCUCACUGAGUGACCUUCUGUUACUCACCCAACUCUCGUUGUCCUUUUUGCAGGAGUUUAGUUUGUAGGAGAUUAGACGCGUAGGCCACCGGAAUAGAUUUGCAGUGCAUUUGGCUACGGUUUGAUUUUUAUACGAUUUAUGUUUCCGUUGCGUUUUAUCGGAUUUGGGAUCCCUAAAGUAUUGCAAAUAUUCUUAAAAGUCUUGGAUUUAAAUCUUAAAAAAAUUAACGGGUCCAAUAUGAUAUUGGUUUAGUCCGAACCAACACAACGUUAGGUCUUGGUACGGGUUGAAAAGCCUUAAGCCUCGAUCUAACGGAACCGUUAACUCAUGGUACAGGUUGCAAAGCCUUAAGCCUUGAUUUAACGGGACGUGUUAGUGGAUGAACUAGUCUAGGUUGCGGAAUAAAUCUGUGACUCGGACCGGAUCGUCCCUAGCUCGUCACGUAGCGCUUCCGGACCAUGGUGUUGGGUUGGACGGUCAGUCAUGUUCUUGUUUGAUUGUUGGCUGGCCGGUUGGCCUUUCAUCUCCAAUCCUUGGUGUUGGUUGGUCCGUCGGUCAUGUUCUUGUUUGAUUGUUGGCCGGUGGGUCGACCUAUGCCUAGGACGGUUCGGGGGUGUUACAGAGGUGGUAUCAGAGCAUGGUUACGAUUAUGCUCACUGGUUCCCGUGGUUUUUCAAAUGUUUUCAAUGUUUUUCGAGUCAAAAGGAGUCGCCAAUGCACUCUUUAGGAAUCCGGUCGUGUCCAAUCGUUUAGGAGGGGUAGGAGAGAUUUUAUUUUAUUAUUAGCUUGUUGUCUAACCCAUAUAUAUUGCGACAUGAUUCCGCAGGUUGCUGUACUGGUGUGGUAGGGUGGAGAUUUGGAGUUACGGAGGAUUUCGACGUUUCGCCUAGUCCUAUACUUGCCGAUCUUUUUCAGCCGCAUGAGUUUGAUCAGAUCGUACCAGACAUGUUUCCGACACCUAUCAUCAUUUCUGAUGAUGACACCGAGCCUGAUGAUGCGGUUCCGACACCCUUUAUUGUCAUUUCUGACGAUGAGACCAAUGCGGAUGAUCUUGUUCCGCAGAUGCCUACGGUAGCACCACCGAGCCCCAUCACUAUCUUGUCUACGGGUACUACUGGAGAUACGCCGAGUUAUGAUCCUGCUGAGGAUCAGGGCACUUCGCCACCUACUCCAGAUGUGUCGACACCAUCAUAUGGUCCCUUACCUUUGUCUCCGGGAUUACCCGAUCCUACUCUCAGCCCGACGAUUGACAUACAUUAUGAGAUGGGUCUGGAGGGAUUUUACGAUCUGCCGAUGGAGAGUAUUGGUGACAGCCAUGAUGAUCCAUUACUUUACUAUCCAGACAUCAUGAUUCCUGAUGAGCCAGCAAACUAUCAGUCCAUGGAGAGCGUUGGACACCCUGAUGACGACCCAUUCCUUUAUGAUCCAGACGUGAUGAUGAUGGACCAGCCACUUCCUCAGCCGGCGGACUUAUCUUUUUCUCAUACUAUACCUGCGAGUGGAGAGCCUUCCAGCUUUCCACCCAUGGAGCCAUCCACGACCUACUCACCAUUAUCUCAGCCAUUCUAUGACUACGGAGAGCCUUCCAGCUUUCCGACGAUGGAGGUACCCAAGACUGAAUUACCAUUUUACCAGACCACUUAUCAGACCGGAGGGCCAUCUAGCCUUCCAGCGAUGGAUGCAUCUUUUGAUCUUGGAGGAUCUGCUUCUUCUGGUGAUCCUUACGCACCUCAGUCCUAUCGAUGUUUUUGGUGUCAGAGCAGGAUAUGUGGAUCCACACGGAUUCCCAUAUCAUACUUAUCUUGGUAGAUCGGAUCUGUACCCGAGGUGUUUUACUUGUGGAGGCAUAGCACAUUCGACUGGCGUGUGCACGAGCUACGACGAGCCAGCAGCGAUACCCUACCUACACAGUGCGCAACCAGCAGGGGAUUCGUCCGAGUGGGGCUACUGCCCCAACUGCGACAUGUUGCUUUAUAUAUGGCGUUCUUAGACGUGUAGGACCGGGUAAGUAGGGUACAGACUUUUUGUGGUGAUAUAGCGGUGUAUAGACUUUUGUAGUGUUUUGUGACAGCUGAUGUCUUUUGUUGUAUGAUAUAUCAUCAGUAACGAUAAAGGAUGUUUUUCUGUCAAGUAUAUGUAUAUAUUUGAUGGGAGGAUAUGUUUUAUAGUGAAGGUGGUUAUCAUUUGCGUUUUUCUAUUUAGUAAUUACGUAACCAUAUCAUUCAAGUAUGCAUGUUCUUGCAUAUUUGAAUUAUGUGGUUUACAAGAUGAAAAAUAGUGAUCGCUUGGACAUAUGGUUUUACAAAACAUUUACAACUGUUUAAAUAUCACACAAAUCGUUGGUACAGUAGAGUCUUAGUUUUUAGGCCGCAUUUUUUUAGGGCUGGUUAGUGGAACAUAGAAUUGCUAGGUUGUUGGUUAGAAUUGCGGUUAGAUUACCCGGUUAGAAUCGUUAGGUUGCUGGAUAGAUUUGGUAGGUUGCUGGUUAGUUUUGGAUUAGAUUGUUAGGUUAGUUGUUAACUAACUUGCAUGUGAAGUGUUCUUUUGAGUUGCAGCUUGUGUGUUCGUUGAUCGGAACUUUAAGGAAUGGAAACCUUAAAGUGAAAAGAGUUCAAGGCUAAAAACCCAAAAUGAAGAGAGAGAGAUUUAGAGGGACUGGACAGUGGUAUGGACUGGACAAGUAUGAGAAAGACUUCGUUGAGAAAGGACUUCAUCAGUUUUGGGAAAAGAAAGGUUUCAGUGAUCAGAAGCAAAGAUGGUGCGCGUUAUGGCAGAGUAAAUGCAAGAAGACGAUUCAGUAUUCAUCAAGUGAAGAGUUUUGUGGCAACUUUGAGAAGGAGACUCAUGGGAGAGCAGUAGAUACGGUGAAGCAAUAUGAAGAUGAAUUCAGCAUGAGAGUGAAGCGAUAUGGAGAUGAGUUAAGAAUGAGUGAAGCAUGGGAAAUCAAGAAGUGAAGGACGGAUUCAAGACUAAAGGAAUGCUUUGAGAUGUAUCAAGACGGAGUGAGUUCAGAACCAGAAGUUUGGGUGGAGACCAGAGAAACCGAAAGGAGGAAACCAAGGGCAAACCGAUAAAGAAGCACAUCAAGUGAUCAAGACCGCGAGACAAGUGAUCCAAGGAGAAAUUUUCAUCAAGGGGAUGAACAUGUCGUGAAGCUGAGCCAUUGGACAACUAAGAAUGCGAGGACGAAUUCUAUUAAGGGGGGAAGAAUGUGAUAAUCCGCCCUUCGGGAUAAAAUGGUUGAGCAAGGGAAAGUCAGAAUCUGGAGCCAAGCUUUUGGGAGAUUACAUAUUUGGAGUAAUGUUGAGUUUUGAUCACACAAAACUUAACAAGGUUCGGAGAAGACAGAAGAUUGGUCGAGCAUCAACUUGAUGAUCGAACCGCGGGCGGUACGAACCGAGAAGUUCGAAGUAGGAUGUGGUCGAAGAAUGGAUCGUGAGUGAACCAUGAGACAUAUUACGCUGCUCUACCUUUCUUAGAAGAGUCUUAGAUUGAUCAGACGAAGAUUUUGGAAGAAUCACAUUUUUGGAAGCACG